GGCGAGCUACCCACGCAAUGGGAGUGCGAAUCUCGAAAGCCUGUCUCCAGUUCGGAUUGGAGGCUGAAACCCGCCCUCCCAUGAAGUUGGAUUCGCUAGUAAUCGCGCAUCAGCCAUGGCGCGGUGAAUACGUUCCCGGGCCCUUGUACACACCGCCCGUCAAGCCAUGGGAGCCGGGGGGUGCCUGAAGUUCGUGACCGCAAGGAGCGACCUAGGGCAAAACUGGUGACUGGGGCUAAGUCGUAACAAGGUAGC
This 255-nucleotide ribosomal RNA is filed under the name uncultured bacterium. Its description in RNAcentral is "partial 16S ribosomal RNA". It matches the Rfam family "Bacterial small subunit ribosomal RNA", at positions 1245 to 1500 of the family's 1533-position model. The record is from RNAcentral.